AUGGGAGUUGUGAGGAUACGGUUUUAUAAUUCCUUGAAUAUGUCCCAUCUCCCUUAUCCUACUACAUAUGUAUGAUGUAUGUUUGUUUAGAACGUUUUAUAUAUACAUGGAAACUAUUCAUUGUGUCACCUCUUUAUACAGGUAAAAGAAAUAUAACAUAAUUUUUUA
Ciona intestinalis (vase tunicate) is the source of this 168-nucleotide non-coding RNA. Lineage: Eukaryota; Metazoa; Chordata; Ascidiacea; Phlebobranchia; Cionidae. The record is from RefSeq and is a predicted model, not a curated record.